GCCGGCUAACUACGUGCCAGCAGCCGCGGUAAUACGUAGGGCGCAAGCGUUAUCCGGAAUUAUUGGGCGUAAAGAGCUCGUAGGCGGUUUGUCGCGUCUGCUGUGAAAUCCCGAGGCUCAACCUCGGGUCUGCAGUGGGUACGGGCAGACUAGAGUGCGGUAGGGGAGAUUGGAAUUCCUGGUGUAGCGGUGGAAUGCGCAGAUAUCAGGAGGAACACCGAUGGCGAAGGCAGAUCUCUGGGCCGUUACUGACGCUGAGGAGCGAAAGGGUGGGGAGCAAACAGGCUUAGAUACCCUGGUAGUCCACCCCGUAAACGUUGGGAACUAGUUGUGGGGUCCAUUCCACGGAUUCCGUGACGCAGCUAACGCAUUAAGUUCCCCGCCUGGGGAGUACGGCCGCAAGGCUAAAACUCAAAGGAAUUGACGGGGACCCGCACAAGCGGCGGAGCAUGCGGAUUAAUUCGAUGCAACGCGAAGAACCUUACCAAGGCUUGACAUAUACGAGAACGGGCUAGAAAUAGUCAACUCUUUGGACACUCGUAAACAGGUGGUGCAUGGUUGUCGUCAGCUCGUGUCGUGAGAUGUUGGGUUAAGUCCCGCAACGAGCGCAACCCUCGUUCUAUGUUGCCAGCACGUAAUGGUGGGAACUCAUGGAAUACUGCCGGGGUCAACUCGGAGGAAGGUGGGGAUGACGUCAAAUCAUCAUGCCCCUUAUGUCUUGGGCUUCACGCAUGCUACAAUGGCCGGUACAAAGGGCUGCAAUACCGCGAGGUGGAGCGAAUCCCAAAAAGCCGGUCCCAGUUCGGAUUGAGGUCUGCAACUCGACCUCAUGAAGUCGGAGUCGCUAGUAAUCGCAGAUCAGCAACGCUGCGGUGAAUACGUUCCCGGGUCUUGUACACACCGCCCGUCAAGUCAUGAAAGU
This 922-nucleotide ribosomal RNA is filed under the name Microbacterium sp. Its description in RNAcentral is "bacterial SSU rRNA". It matches the Rfam family "Bacterial small subunit ribosomal RNA", at positions 492 to 1411 of the family's 1533-position model. Lineage: Bacteria; Bacillati; Actinomycetota; Actinomycetes; Micrococcales; Microbacteriaceae. The record is from RNAcentral.